RNAcentral lists this ribosomal RNA (445 nucleotides) under uncultured bacterium. Its description in RNAcentral is "bacterial SSU rRNA". It matches the Rfam family "Bacterial small subunit ribosomal RNA", at positions 28 to 470 of the family's 1533-position model. The record is from RNAcentral.
GACGAACGUUGGCGGCGUGCUUAAUACAUGCAAGCCAACUGAAGCACCGGUAGUAAUACUGGUGUGGAGGUGGCGCACGGGUGAGUAACACGUAGGUAAUCUGCCUUCAGGUCUGACAUAACCCCGAGAAAUCGGGGCUAAUAGCAGAUGAUGCAGCGGCUUGACAUCAAGACAGUUGUUAAAGCUUCGGCGCCUGAAGAUGAGCCUGCGUCUGAUUAGCUAGUUGGCGGAGUAAUAGCCCACCAAGGCGACGAUCAGUAGCUGGUCUGAGAGGAUGAUCAGCCACACUGGAACUGAGACACGGUCCAGACUCCUACGGGAGGCAGCAGUAAGGAAUAUUGCUCAAUGGGAGAAAUCCUGAAGCAGCAACGCCGCGUGAGGGAUGAAGGGCUUUUGCUCGUAAACCUCUGUAGUGAGGGAAAAAAUUACCUAUUCUAUGGAAUAU